This 668-nucleotide unclassified non-coding RNA is filed under the name Ctenocephalides felis (cat flea). Its description in RNAcentral is "sequence contains ITS1". The record is from RNAcentral. Lineage: Eukaryota; Metazoa; Arthropoda; Insecta; Siphonaptera; Pulicidae.
ACGUACAUUUACUAUUUAGUGAAUGAAACGUGUGCGAUAUGUCGUAUAACCUACGACGUAUAAAAUCUUAAAGCGUCUCGCAACGAUGGAUCAUUCGUUUCAUUAACGUUUGACCGGAGCUAGUCGCAAAAUAUUGCGCAGUGUGCAAAAGCAGCGUGACGCGGUUUACAACCGCUUAGCGCUCUUAUGCAUUGUGUGAGAGCACUGCCAUGUAUAUCUGCUCGGUAUCGCCAGAUGCCUGAGCGAAUGACGAAGUUCGUUGUGAAAACGGCGUUCUUUUUGAAUAUUAUACUUUAAACGCAUAGCUCAAUCAAUUCUUUGGGCGCUAGAUGAAAGUCUAGUGUUUCAAAGUCGAUUGUAGUAAACGCUUGCGUUAGUAUUCUAUAUACUCUGCACAUUUUAUUCAAAUUGUGCGAAUUUGAACAUUCGCUUCAUUGCGUUGUUUUAAGAAAAUGAAAGAUCAGCGAAAGCAGAUUUUUCAAUCUCACACACAAUGAAAUAUUCAUAUUUCAAUUUUGAAACGAGGUCUCGUAUCUCGGACCGAAAAGCGAAAGCUUUACGGUGUACUAAUUGUAACCAUAAUAAACAUACUAGUUUCAGAAUCGCCCGAGUUAUCUUAAACGAUUUCGAGGGAAUCACGAUUGAAACAUGUAUAAAUAUAUAUAAAA